AUGCUGCUUGUUUAUCUCCUAGUGUUGGACAUAUCUACGUCCUUUGUUUUUAGCGCAAUUGAUUUUACUCAGCCAGGUCAUGUGAUUGUCCGGCCUGGACAGACUUUGACCACUGGCUGUAAAGUGUCUGGUUACAGCUUGACUGAUAGCACUUAUUGUACAAACUGGAUUCGACAUGCUACUGGGAAAAAUAUGCAGUGGAUUGGAUACAUUUGUAGUGAUGGAAGCACAGGGGGCACAGAGUCACUGAAAAACAGGUUCAGCAUCACUCAGGACACCUCCAGUAACACAGUGACCCUCCAUGGUCAGAAUGUGCAGAUGGAAGACACAGCUGUGUAUUAUUGUGUGCGCUAUCAUAACACAGUGCUACAGAUCACUGAAGUGCCUGUACAAAAACCUCCUCAGAUCAGCCUCAUGCCUUUUGUCAUCGUCCCAAUGUUCAUCAUCUGA
Tachysurus vachellii is the source of this 450-nucleotide non-coding RNA. The record is from the annotation of a RefSeq genome assembly. Lineage: Eukaryota; Metazoa; Chordata; Actinopteri; Siluriformes; Bagridae.